This 225-nucleotide long non-coding RNA is filed under the name Dermacentor andersoni. Its description in RNAcentral is "uncharacterized LOC126517939". Lineage: Eukaryota; Metazoa; Arthropoda; Arachnida; Ixodida; Ixodidae. The record is from RNAcentral.
CGACGGUACCCAGGGCGCUUCAUCUACUUUGGGCGCCUACAGAACGAAUGCUGACGAUGCCUUGCGCUACCAGGGGAAAACACACCACACGCCGAUGACCGACGAGACUUGCAGUGUCGACGGUGUCACCAACAAUGGCAGCACACGUUGCCAGCACUUGGGGUCCAUCAGGAGCAUCGAUAACGUGAGGCCCAGCACAAGUCGCGCUGGCAUGGAAGAAGCAUC